CCUACGCGAGGCAGCAGUGAGGAAUAUUGGUCAAUGGACGAGAGUCUGAACCAGCCAAGUAGCGUGAAGGAUGACGGCCCAAUGGGUUGUAAACUUCUUUUAUAAAGGAAUAAAACGAGGCACGUGUGCCUUUUUGCAUGUACCUUAUGAAUAAGGAUCGGCUAACUCCGUGCCAGCCGCCGAGGUAAUACGGAGGAUCCGAGCGUUAUCCGGAUUUAUUGGGAUUAACGGGAGCGUAGAGGGGUUGUUAAGUCAGUUGGGAAAGGUUGCGGCUCAACCGUAGAAGUGCAAUUGAUACUGGCAGUCGUGAGUACAGGUGAGGUAGGCGGAAUGCGUGGUGUAGCGGUGAAAUGCUUAGAUAUCACGGAGAACCCCGAUUGCGAAGGCAGCUUACUAGACUGAGACUGACGUUGAUGCUCGAAAGUGUGGGUAUCAAACAGGAUUAGAUACCCCGGUAGUC
RNAcentral lists this ribosomal RNA (460 nucleotides) under uncultured bacterium. RNAcentral describes it as "partial 16S ribosomal RNA". It matches the Rfam family "Bacterial small subunit ribosomal RNA", at positions 338 to 795 of the family's 1533-position model. The record is from RNAcentral.